CCAAACUUCAGUGAAGAAACACCAUCACAAACCAAACGGCUUAAGCUUGAAACAUUAGAUCCAGAUUUACAGUCUCACAGGAACCACAAGAAUUUUACAGACAGUCUCCUGCAGAUCUUCCAGGAUCUUGAGAGCAAAAUAAUCAGAUUUCUAAAGAAAGAAUUGGAAAAGUUUAAGAAAAUAUUA
This is a long non-coding RNA of Cyprinus carpio (common carp), 186 nucleotides long. RefSeq lists it as uncharacterized. The record is from RefSeq and is a predicted model, not a curated record. Lineage: Eukaryota; Metazoa; Chordata; Actinopteri; Cypriniformes; Cyprinidae. The transcript is spliced from 3 exons.